This 252-nucleotide ribosomal RNA is filed under the name uncultured bacterium. RNAcentral describes it as "partial small subunit ribosomal RNA". It matches the Rfam family "Bacterial small subunit ribosomal RNA", at positions 26 to 284 of the family's 1533-position model. The record is from RNAcentral.
AGGACGAACGCUGGCGGCGUGCUUAACACAUGCAAGUCGAGCGGAAAGGCCCUUCGGGGUACUCGAGCGGCGAACGGGUGAGUAACACGUGAGUAAUCUGCCCCUAGCUCUGGGAUAGCUCCGGGAAACCGGGAUUAAUACCGGAUACGACCACCUUAGACAUCUUUUGUGGUGGAAAGAAUUUCGGCUAGGGAUGAGCUCGCGGCCUAUCAGCUUGUUGGUGGGUAACGGCCUACCAAGGCGACGACGGGU